UGGAUGAUGUGGAUUAAUUCGAUGCAACGCGAAAACCUUACCUACCCUUGACAUGUCUGGAAGGCCGAAGAGAUUUGGCUGUGCUCGCAAGAGAACCGGAACACAGGUGCUGCAUGGCUGUCGUCAGCUCGUGUCGUGAGAUGUUGGGUUAAGUCCCGCAACGAGCGCAACCCUUGUCAUUAGUUGCUACGAAAGGGCACUCUAAUGAGACUGCCGGUGACAAACCGGAGGAAGGUGGGGAUGACGUCAAGUCCUCAUGGCCCUUAUGGGUAGGGCUUCACACGUCAUACAAUGGUCGGGACAGAGGGUCGCCAACCCGCGAGGGGGAGCCAAUCCCAGAAACCCGAUCGUAGUCCGGAUUGCAGGCUGCAACUCGCCUGCAUGAAGUCGGAAUCGCUAGUAAUCGCGGAUCAGCAUGUCGCGGUGAAUACGUUCCCGGGUCUU
RNAcentral lists this ribosomal RNA (444 nucleotides) under uncultured Pusillimonas sp. RNAcentral describes it as "bacterial SSU rRNA". It matches the Rfam family "Bacterial small subunit ribosomal RNA", at positions 933 to 1382 of the family's 1533-position model. The record is from RNAcentral. Lineage: Bacteria; Pseudomonadati; Pseudomonadota; Betaproteobacteria; Burkholderiales; Alcaligenaceae.